CUGACCUGCUAAGGACUCUGAGCAGUCAGAGUAUACUAUCAGUAGUGCUAGUCUACUGUACUGUGUGUUGGUCUGAAUUAAGCAUGAUGAUCUUGGGGUAUUGGGAAGUCAGAGGGGUGAGUGGACCUGCGCAUGCUGGUAAUGGCGGCUGUGUGUGACCAGGACAUAUACUGAUUGCUUGCUUGCUUUUACUUUUUGCAGCUGGUUCAUUCUAUCCGCCUCCUGCUGGAGUACACCGAGACCCCAUUUGAAGACAAGCACUAUGUGGUGGGAGAUG
Pelobates cultripes (western spadefoot toad) is the source of this 277-nucleotide non-coding RNA. The record is from the annotation of a GenBank genome assembly. Lineage: Eukaryota; Metazoa; Chordata; Amphibia; Anura; Pelobatidae.